CCCCAGGGUUUGCUCCGUUAGUGCGCCAGCGGAGGACAUUACAGAGUUGCAAAACUCCCAAACCAUUGUGAACCUACCUACAACCGUUGCUUCGGCGGGCGGCCCCGGGUCUCCCCGGGCGCCCCUCCGGCCCCUCGCGGGGGCCCGCCGGAGGUACGCAACCCUCUGUAUUUGCAUGGCCUCUCUGAGUCUCUGUACUGAAUAAGUCAAAACUUUCAACAACGGAUCUCUUGGUUCUGGCAUCGAUGAAGAACGCAGCGAAAUGCGAUAAGUAAUGUGAAUUGCAGAAUUCAGUGAAUCAUCGAAUCUUUGAACGCACAUUGCGCCCGCCAGUAUUCUGGCGGGCAUGCCUGUUCGAGCGUCAUUCCAACCAUCAAGCCCCGGGCUUGUGUUGGGGCCCUGCGGCUGCCGCAGGCCCCGAAAACCAGUGGCGGGCUCGCUGUCACACCGAGCGUAGUAGUUACCACCUCGCUCCGGGGCGUGCCGCGGGGUUCCGGCCGUUUAAACCCCCCCUAUCUUUUUUUCUAAAGGGUUUGACCUCGGAUCACGGUAGGAAGGUACCCCGCUGAACUUAAAGCAUAUCAAUCAGCGGAAGGAAUAAGUAAACCUAUCAGGGUACUGCCAGCUUAACGGGGCGGAUAGCUGUCGUGUCUC
This 654-nucleotide ribosomal RNA is filed under the name Colletotrichum gloeosporioides. RNAcentral's name for it is "eukaryotic LSU rRNA". The stretch from base 211 to 364 matches the Rfam family "5.8S ribosomal RNA". The record is from RNAcentral. Lineage: Eukaryota; Fungi; Ascomycota; Sordariomycetes; Glomerellales; Glomerellaceae.